This 200-nucleotide ribosomal RNA is filed under the name uncultured bacterium. RNAcentral describes it as "partial 16S ribosomal RNA". It matches the Rfam family "Bacterial small subunit ribosomal RNA", at positions 8 to 209 of the family's 1533-position model. The record is from RNAcentral.
AGAGUUUGAUCCUGGCUCAGAUUGAACGCUGGCGGCAUGCCUUACACAUGCAAGUCGAACGGCAGCACGGGAGCAAUCCUGGUGGCGAGUGGCGAACGGGUGAGUAAUACAUCGGAACGUGCCCUGUAGUGGGGGAUAACUAGUCGAAAGACUAGCUAAUACCGCAUACGACCUGAGGGUGAAAGUGGGGGACCGCAAGG